CGCAGCCGCGGUAAUUCCAGCUCCAAUAGCGUAUAUUAAAGUUGUUGCAGUUAAAAAGCUCGUAGUUGAAUUUCGGGAUCAAUUAAUUGGUCGUGCCUCUGGUACGUACUGAUUUUAUUGGUUUCUCCCUUCUGACGAACCAUGAUGUCAUUAAUUUGAUGUCGUGGAGAAUCAGGACUGUUACUUUGAAAAAAUUAGAGUGUUUAAAGCAAGCUAACGCUUGAAUACAUUAGCAUGGAAUAAUGAAAUAGGACGUUUGAUCCUAUUUUGUUUGGUCUCUAGGAUCGACGUAAUGAUUAAUAGGGAUAGUUGGGGGCAUUAGUAUUCAAUUGUCAGAGGUGAAAUUCUUGGAUUUAUUGAAGACUAACUACUGCGAAAGCAUUUGCCAAGGAUGUUUUCAUUAAU
Molecule: ribosomal RNA, 405 nt
Filed under: uncultured Glomeromycotina
Lineage: Eukaryota; Fungi; Glomeromycota
Description: SSU rRNA
Rfam family: Eukaryotic small subunit ribosomal RNA
Source: RNAcentral